Molecule: ribosomal RNA, 521 nt
Filed under: uncultured bacterium
Lineage: Bacteria
Description: bacterial SSU rRNA
Rfam family: Archaeal small subunit ribosomal RNA
Source: RNAcentral
AACCUCCGCAAUGUGAGAAAUCGCGACGGGGGGAUCCCAAGUGCCAUUCUUAACGGGAUGGCUUUUCUUAAGUGUAAAAAGCUUUUGGAAUAAGAGCUGGGCAAGACCGGUGCCAGCCGCCGCGGUAACACCGGCAGCUCUAGUGGUAACAAUUUUUAUUGGGCCUAAAGCGUCCGUAGCCGGUUUAAUAAGUCUCUGGUGAAAUCCUGCAGCUUAACUGUGGGAAUUGCUGGAGAUACUAUUAGACUUGAGACCGGGAGAGGUUAGAGGUACUCCCAGGGUAGAGGUGAAAUUCUGUAAUCCUGGGAGGACCGCCUGUUGCGAAGGCGUCUAACUGGAACGGUUCUGACGGUGAGGGACGAAAGUUAGGGGCGCGAACCGGAUUAGAUACCCGGGUAGUCCUAACUGUAAACGAUGCGGACUUGGUGUUGGGGUGGCUUUGAGCUGCUUCAGUGCCGAAGGGAAGCUGUUAAGUCCGCCGCCUGGGAAGUACGGUCGCAAGACUGAAACUUAAAGGAAGU